This 388-nucleotide ribosomal RNA is filed under the name uncultured bacterium. RNAcentral describes it as "bacterial SSU rRNA". It matches the Rfam family "Bacterial small subunit ribosomal RNA", at positions 28 to 417 of the family's 1533-position model. The record is from RNAcentral.
GACGAACGCUGGCGGCGUGCCUAACACAUGCAAGUCGAGCGGUAAGGCCCUUUCGGGGGUACACGAGCGGCGAACGGGUGAGUAACACGUGGGUGACCUGCCCUCAGCUCUGGGAUAAGCCUGGGAAACCGGGUCUAAUACUGGAUAUGACUCCAUGACGCAUGUUGUGGGGUGGAAAGCCUUGUGCGGCUGAGGAUGGGCCCGCGGCCUAUCAGCUUGUUGGUGGGGUGANGGCCUACCAAGGCGACGACGGGUAGCCGGCCUGAGAGGGCGACCGGCCACACUGGGACUGAGACACGGCCCAGACUCCUACGGGAGGCAGCAGUGGGGAAUCUUGCGCAAUGGGCGAAAGCCUGACGCAGCGACGCCGCGUGAGGGAUGACGGCCU